AGCUCAGCAUUGGGCAUAAAGCGUGCGCAGGCGGCUAUGCAAGACAGAUGUGAAAUCCCCGGGCUCAACCUGGGAACUGCAUUUGUGACUGCAUGGCUAGAGUACGGUAGAGGGGGAUGGAAUUCCGCGUGUAGCAGUGAAAUGCGUAGAUAUGCGGAGGAACACCGAUGGCGAAGGCAAUCCCCUGGACCUGUACUGACGCUCAUGCACGAAAGCGUGGGGAGCAAACAGGAUUAGAUACCCUGGUAGUCCACGCCCUAAACGAUGUCAACUGGUUGUUGGACGGCUUGCUGUUCAGUAACGAAGCUAACGCGUGAAGUUGACCGCCUGGGGAGUACGGCCGCAAGGUUGAAACUUAAAAAAUUGACGG
RNAcentral lists this ribosomal RNA (370 nucleotides) under uncultured Methylibium sp. Its description in RNAcentral is "bacterial SSU rRNA". It matches the Rfam family "Bacterial small subunit ribosomal RNA", at positions 542 to 916 of the family's 1533-position model. RNAcentral also lists the same sequence under 1 other name. Lineage: Bacteria; Pseudomonadati; Pseudomonadota; Betaproteobacteria; Burkholderiales; Sphaerotilaceae. The record is from RNAcentral.